This 253-nucleotide ribosomal RNA is filed under the name uncultured bacterium. RNAcentral's name for it is "partial 16S ribosomal RNA". It matches the Rfam family "Bacterial small subunit ribosomal RNA", at positions 524 to 776 of the family's 1533-position model. The record is from RNAcentral.
CACGUAGGGUGCGAGCGUUGUCCGGAAUUAUUGGGCGUAAAGAGCUCGUAGGUGGUUUGUCGCGUUGUCCGUGAAAACUCACAGCUCAACUGUGGGCGUGCGGGCGAUACGGGCAGACUGGAGUACUGCAGGGGAGACUGGAAUUCCUGGUGUAGCGGUGGAAUGCGCAGAUAUCAGGAGGAACACCGGUGGCGAAGGCGGGUCUCUGGGCAGUAACUGACGCUGAGGAGCGAAAGCGUGGGGAGCGGACAGG